Molecule: ribosomal RNA, 465 nt
Filed under: Vreelandella stevensii
Lineage: Bacteria; Pseudomonadati; Pseudomonadota; Gammaproteobacteria; Oceanospirillales; Halomonadaceae
Description: partial 16S ribosomal RNA
Rfam family: Bacterial small subunit ribosomal RNA
Source: RNAcentral
CCUACGGGGGGCAGCAGUGGGGAAUAUUGGACAAUGGGGGGAACCCUGAUCCAGCCAUGCCGCGUGUGUGAAGAAGGCCCUCGGGUUGUAAAGCACUUUCAGUGAGGAAGAACGCCUGGUGGUUAAUACCCAUCAGGAAAGACAUCACUCACAGAAGAAGCACCGUCUAACUCCGUGCCAGCAGCCGCGGUAAUACGGAGGGUGCGAGCGUUAAUCGGAAUUACUGGGCGUAAAGCGCGCGUAGGUGGCUUGAUAAGCCGGUUGUGAAAGCCCCGGGCUCAACCUGGGAACGGCAUCCGGAACUGUCAAGCUAGAGUGCAGGAGAGGAAGGUAGAAUUCCCGGUGUAGCGGUGAAAUGCGUAGAGAUCGGGAGGAAUACCAGUGGCGAAGGCGGCCUUCUGGACUGACACUGACACUGAGGUGCGAAAGCGUGGGUAGCAAACAGGAUUAGAUACCCCAGUAGUC